This 22-nucleotide microRNA is filed under the name Bos taurus (domestic cattle). RNAcentral describes it as "bta-miR-759". Its record names the gene bta-miR-759. Lineage: Eukaryota; Metazoa; Chordata; Mammalia; Artiodactyla; Bovidae. The record is from miRBase by way of RNAcentral.
GCAGACUGCAAACAAUUUUGAC